GGCAGGCCUAACACAUGCAAGUCGAGCGGUAACAGAAAGUAGCUUGCUACUUUGCUGACGAGCGGCGGACGGGUGAGUAAUGCUUGGGAACAUGCCUUGAGGUGGGGGACAACAGUUGGAAACGACUGCUAAUACCGCAUAAUGUCUACGGACCAAAGGGGGCUUCGGCUCUCGCCUUUAGAUUGGCCCAAGUGGGAUUAGCUAGUUGGUGAGGUAAUGGCUCACCAAGGCGACGAUCCCUAGCUGGUUUGAGAGGAUGAUCAGCCACACUGGGACUGAGACACGGCCCAGACUCCUACGGGAGGCAGCAGUGGGGAAUAUUGCACAAUGGGCGCAAGCCUGAUGCAGCCAUGCCGCGUGUGUGAAGAAGGCCUUCGGGUUGUAAAGCACUUUCAGUCAGGAGGAAAGCGUAGUAGUUAAUACCCAUCAUGUGUGACGUUACUGACAGAAGAAGCACCGGCUAACUCCGUGCCAGCAGCCGCGGUAAUACGGAGGGUGCGAGCGUUAAUCGGAAUUACUGGGCGUAAAGCGUACGCAGGCGGUUUGUUAAGCGAGAUGUGAAAGCCCCGGGCUCAACCUGGGAACUGCAUUUCGAACUGGCAAACUAGAGUGUGAUAGAGGGUGGUAGAAUUUCAGGUGUAGCGGUGAAAUGCGUAGAGAUCUGAAGGAAUACCGAUGGCGAAGGCAGCCACCUGGGUCAACACUGACGCUCAUGUACGAAAGCGUGGGGAGCAAACGGGAUUAGAUACCCCGGUAGUCCACGCCGUAAACGAUUUCUACUAGAAGCUCGGAGCCUCGGUUCUGUUUUUCAAAGCUAACGCAUUAAGUAGAC
Molecule: ribosomal RNA, 832 nt
Filed under: uncultured Pseudoalteromonas sp.
Lineage: Bacteria; Pseudomonadati; Pseudomonadota; Gammaproteobacteria; Alteromonadales; Pseudoalteromonadaceae
Description: bacterial SSU rRNA
Rfam family: Bacterial small subunit ribosomal RNA
Source: RNAcentral